RNAcentral lists this small nuclear RNA (27 nucleotides) under Arabidopsis thaliana (thale cress). RNAcentral describes it as "snRNA_05719". The record is from RNAcentral. Lineage: Eukaryota; Viridiplantae; Streptophyta; Magnoliopsida; Brassicales; Brassicaceae.
UAGCGAACAAGUACCGCGAGGUAAAGA